This 417-nucleotide ribosomal RNA is filed under the name uncultured bacterium. RNAcentral describes it as "bacterial SSU rRNA". It matches the Rfam family "Bacterial small subunit ribosomal RNA", at positions 355 to 786 of the family's 1533-position model. The record is from RNAcentral.
UGGGGAAUAUUGGGCAAUGGGCGAAAGCCUGACCCAGCAACGCCGCGUGAAGGAAGAAGGUCUUCGGAUUGUAAACUUCUUUUAUGAGGGACGAAGGACGCGACGGUACCUCAUGAAUAAGCCACGGCUAACUACGUGCCAGCAGCCGCGGUAAUACGUAGGUGGCAAGCGUUAUCCGGAUUUACUGGGUGUAAAGGGCGCGUAGGCGCGGAUGCAAGUCAGAUGUGAAAUCUAUGGGCUUAACCCAUAAACUGCAUUUGAAACUGUGUCUCUUGAGUGCUGGAGAGGUAGACGGAAUUCCUUGUGUAGCGGUGAAAUGCGUAGAUAUAAGGAAGAACACCAGUGGCGAAGGCGGUCUACUGGACAGUAACUGACGCUGAGGCGCGAAAGCGUGGGGAGCAAACAGGAUUAGAUACC